GUCGUGCCCAGAGCACCCAAAACUUGAUGAGGCUGUUCUAGUUACCAAUAAAGCGAGGAUUGUCAGCAUGAUGGGAGUGAUUGAGAAUGUUUCAACACACCAUAGAUCGUGUCCUCAGUGCCACAUGGUCUACAGAUACCAGGAGUGGACAGAUGGGCUUCACAACUUUGACAACCACGUUGUUUUGUGUCUUGAACUCUGACUUUUUUUGAGAGAAAAUCUGCAGAACCAUGUAUCCGCUUCAAGGGUCAUUGACUCAUUGGAGGGCUUAAGAAGAGUGAAGUUUCCUUCUAGGGAUACCAUUUUUCAUGCUUAUUGCCAUUUUGAGGCUUU
Molecule: long non-coding RNA, 333 nt
Organism: Oreochromis aureus
Lineage: Eukaryota; Metazoa; Chordata; Actinopteri; Cichliformes; Cichlidae
Exons: 3
Source: RefSeq, a predicted model, not a curated record